Molecule: ribosomal RNA, 479 nt
Filed under: uncultured bacterium
Lineage: Bacteria
Description: partial 16S ribosomal RNA
Rfam family: Bacterial small subunit ribosomal RNA
Source: RNAcentral
GAUGAACGCUAGCGGGAGGCCUAACACAUGCAAGCCGAGCGGUAUUGUUUCUUCGGAAAUGAGAGAGCGGCGUACGGGUGCGUAACACGUGUGCAACCUGCCUUUAUCUGGGGGAUAGCCUUUCGAAAGGAAGAUUAAUGCUCCAUAAUAUAUUGAACGGCAUCGUUUAAUAUUGAAAGCUCCGGCGGAUAGAGAUGGGCACGCGCAAGAUUAGCUAGUUGGUGAGGUAACGGCUCACCAAGGCGAUGAUCUUUAGGGGGCCUGAGAGGGUGAUCCCCCACACUGGUACUGAGACACGGACCAGACUCCUACGGGAGGCAGCAGUGAGGAAUAUUGGUCAAUGGGUGCAAGCCUGAACCAGCCAUCCCGCGUGAAGGACGACUGCCCUAUGGGUUGUAAACUUCUUUUGUAUAGGGAUAAACCUACCCUCGGGAGGGUAGCUGAAGGUACUAUACGAAUAAGCACCGGCUAACUCCGUG